UGCAAGUCGAACGGUAACAGGCCUAUGUGAUCCCUUCGGGGUGAACUUGGUGCUGACGAGUGGCGGACGGGUGAGUAAUGCAUAGGAAUCUGCCCUUUAGCGGGGGAUAACUCGGGGAAACUCGGGCUAAUACCGCAUACGCCCUACGGGGGAAAGCGGGGGCCUUCGGGCCUCGCACUAUUGGAUGAGCCUAUGUCUGAUUAGUUUGUUGGUGGGGUAAUGGCCUACCAAGGCGACGAUCAGUAGCUGGUCUGAGAGGACGAUCAGCCACACUGGGAUUGAGAUACGGCCCAGACUCCUACGGGAGGCAGCAGUGGGGAAUAUUGGACAAUGGGCGAAAGCCUGAUCCAGCAAUGCCGCGUGUGUGAAGAAGGCCCGAGGGUUGUAAAGCACUUUCAACAGUAAAGAAAAGUUCGGUGCUAAUACCACCGAACCCUGACGUUAGCUGUAGAAGAAGCACUGGCUAACUCCGUGCCAGCAGCCGCGGUAAUACGGAGGGUGCGAGCGUUAAUCGGAAUUACUGGGCGUAAAGCGUGCGUAGGUGGCUUGGUAAGUCGGAUGUGAAAGCCCCGAGCUCAACUUGGGAAUUGCAUUCGAUACUGCUAGGCUAGAGUAUGGUAGAGGGAAGUGGAAUUUCCGGUGUAGCGGUGAAAUGCGUAGAGAUCGGAAGGAACACUAGUGGCGAAGGCGGCUUCCUGGACCAAUACUGACACUGAGGUACGAAAGCGUGGGGAGCAAACAGGAUUAGAUACCCUGGUAGUCCACGCCCUAAACGAUGUCAACUAGCCGU
RNAcentral lists this ribosomal RNA (790 nucleotides) under uncultured bacterium. Its description in RNAcentral is "bacterial SSU rRNA". It matches the Rfam family "Bacterial small subunit ribosomal RNA", at positions 56 to 823 of the family's 1533-position model. The record is from RNAcentral.